This 877-nucleotide ribosomal RNA is filed under the name Heyndrickxia coagulans. RNAcentral describes it as "bacterial LSU rRNA". It matches the Rfam family "Bacterial large subunit ribosomal RNA", at positions 330 to 1208 of the family's 2925-position model. The record is from RNAcentral. Lineage: Bacteria; Bacillati; Bacillota; Bacilli; Caryophanales; Bacillaceae.
UAAGUGAAGCGGCCUGGAAAGGCCUGCCGGAGAAGGUAAAAGCCCUGUAACUGACACUUCGUUCUCUCCCGAGUGGAUCCUGAGUACGGCGGGACACGAGGAAUCCCGCCGGAAUCCGGGAGGACCAUCUCCCAAGGCUAAAUACUCCCUAGUGACCGAUAGUGAACCAGUACCGUGAGGGAAAGGUGAAAAGCACCCCGGGAGGGGAGUGAAAGAGAUCCUGAAACCGUGUGCCUACAAGUAGUCAGAGCCCGUUAACGGGUGAUGGCGUGCCUUUUGUAGAAUGAACCGGCGAGUUACGGUCUCAUGCAAGGUUAAGCUGAAGAAGCGGAGCCGCAGCGAAAGCGAGUCUGAACAGGGCGAAAGAGUAUGAGGCCGCAGACCCGAAACCAGGUGAUCUACCCAUGUCCAGGGUGAAGGCAAGGUAACACUUGCUGGAGGCCCGAACCCACGCACGUUGAAAAGUGCGGGGAUGAGGUGUGGGUAGCGGAGAAAUUCCAAUCGAACUUGGAGAUAGCUGGUUCUCUCCGAAAUAGCUUUAGGGCUAGCCUCAAGCGAAGAGUUUUGGAGGUAGAGCACUGUUUGGACGAGGGGCCCUCAUCGGGUUACCGAAUUCAGACAAACUCCGAAUGCCAAAAACUUAUGCUUGGGAGUCAGACUGUGAGUGAUAAGAUCCAUGGUCGAAAGGGAAACAGCCCAGACCGCCAGCUAAGGUCCCAAAGUAUACGUUAAGUGGAAAAGGAUGUGGCGUUGCUUAGACAACCAGGAUGUUGGCUUAGAAGCAGCCAUCAUUCAAAGAGUGCGUAAUAGCUCACUGGUCGAGUGACGCUGCGCCGAAAAUGUACCGGGGCUAAACGUAUCACCGAAGCUGCGGAUG